ACGCGAGGAUCUGGCCCCGCGCAGAAAAAGAGCGCCCCGGUUAGCCUCGGGGUUAUCUCUGUCCUCUGACGUGGCCUAGGCCUUUCUGGUGGGACAUCACUUCGACUCCAUCCAUCCAUCCAUGGACUUCAAGGAGAUUUUUGGCAUCUGUGGUGGAGCUGAAGGUAACAAAGAAGAUCAAAGGAAGAAAACGACUUCAGGAAAAACCAGUAAAGAAUGCUGAGGUACUGUUCUAGGUUGGAUGUGAUCCCAGGCAUGCCCAUCCUCUCUGACGUCCUCUGCAAUGACUCCUCUACCUGUGAGGGCUUCCUACUCUGUUCCAUGAGUGUGGUUAACUGUGGACUGUUUAUAUUGUUGUUGUUUAGUCACUAAUGUCCAACUCUUUGCAACCCCAUGAACUGCAGCCCUCCAGGCUCCUCUAUCCAUGGGAUUUUC
Molecule: long non-coding RNA, 435 nt
Organism: Cervus elaphus (red deer)
Lineage: Eukaryota; Metazoa; Chordata; Mammalia; Artiodactyla; Cervidae
Exons: 3
Source: RefSeq, a predicted model, not a curated record